GAUGAACGCUAGCGGGAGGCUUAAUACAUGCAAGUCGAACGGUAAGGCUCUCUUCGGAGAGUACACGAGUGGCGCACGGGUGAGUAACGCGUACACAAUCUACCCUUAAGUGGAGAAUACCCCUGGGAAACUGGGAAUAAUACUCCAUAAUAUUCAUGAAUGGCAUCUUUCGUGAAUUAAAGCUCCGGCGCUUAAGGAUGAGUGUGCGUCCCAUUAGCUAGUUGGUAGGGUAAAGGCCUACCAAGGCGACGAUGGGUAGGGGGCGUGAGAGCGUGAUCCCCCACACGGGUACUGAGACACGGACCCGACUCCUACGGGAGGCAGCAGUAAGGAAUAUUGGACAAUGCCCGAAAGGGUGAUCCAGCCAUCCCGCGUGCAGGAAGAAUGCCCUAUGGGUUGUAAACUGCUUUUAUAUACCAAGAAACCCCGAGAUUUAUCUUGGGCUGACGGUAGUAUAUGAAUAAGCACCGGCUAACUCCG
This 480-nucleotide ribosomal RNA is filed under the name uncultured Saprospiraceae bacterium. Its description in RNAcentral is "bacterial SSU rRNA". It matches the Rfam family "Bacterial small subunit ribosomal RNA", at positions 28 to 505 of the family's 1533-position model. The record is from RNAcentral. Lineage: Bacteria; Pseudomonadati; Bacteroidota; Saprospiria; Saprospirales; Saprospiraceae.